This 385-nucleotide unclassified non-coding RNA is filed under the name uncultured fungus. RNAcentral describes it as "partial contains 5.8S ribosomal RNA and internal transcribed spacer 2". The stretch from base 1 to 133 matches the Rfam family "5.8S ribosomal RNA", at positions 22 to 154 of the family's 154-position model. Lineage: Eukaryota; Fungi. The record is from RNAcentral.
UGGCUCUCGCAUCGAUGAAGAACGCAGCGAAAUGCGAUAAGUAAUGUGAAUUGCAGAAUUCAGUGAAUCAUCGAAUCUUUGAACGCACCUUGCGCUCCUUGGUAUUCCGAGGAGCAUGCCUGUUUGAGUGUCUUGAAGUCAUCAACCCCACCCGUUUUGCGCGGGGCGGGAAGUUGGAGAUGGGGCGUUUGCCGCCGCGAGGUGGCUCCCCUCAAAUGCUUCGGUUGGACCUUGUGGGUUGAACCCGUCUGGGCGUUGUACCAUCCUCGCUCUCUAGCGGUUCCCCGCUGCAGUGUCCAUCCACGACCGGCCUAUGGAGUGGCGGUCAACGAAAGGGGCUCCCCUUUUGAAAUCUGACCUCAAAUCAGGUAGGACUACCCGCUGA